RNAcentral lists this ribosomal RNA (440 nucleotides) under uncultured bacterium. RNAcentral's name for it is "partial 16S ribosomal RNA". It matches the Rfam family "Bacterial small subunit ribosomal RNA", at positions 338 to 795 of the family's 1533-position model. The record is from RNAcentral.
CCUACGGGUGGCAGCAGUAGGGAAUAUUGCUCAAUGGGGGAAACCCUGAAGCAGCAACGCCGCGUGGAGGAUGAAGGUUUUCGGAUCGUAAACUCCUUUUGUUAGAGAAGAUAAUGACGGUAUCUAACGAAUAAGCACCGGCUAACUCCGGGCCAGCAGCCGCGGUAAUACGGAGGGUGCAAGCGUUACUCGGAAUCACUGGGCGUAAAGAGCGCGUAGGCGGGAUAGCAAGUCAGAUGUGAAAUCCUAGGGCUUAACCAUAGUACUGCAUUUGAAACUGUUAUUCUAGAGUAUGGGAGAGGUAGGUGGAAUUCUUGGUGUAGGGGUAAAAUCCGUAGAGAUCAAGAGGAAUACUCAUUGCGAAGGCGACCUGCUAGAACAUAACUGACGCUGAUGCGCGAAAGCGUGGGGAGCAAACAGGAUUAGAUACCCUUGUAGUC